Molecule: ribosomal RNA, 465 nt
Filed under: Vreelandella stevensii
Lineage: Bacteria; Pseudomonadati; Pseudomonadota; Gammaproteobacteria; Oceanospirillales; Halomonadaceae
Description: partial 16S ribosomal RNA
Rfam family: Bacterial small subunit ribosomal RNA
Source: RNAcentral
CCUACGGGUGGCAGCAGUGGGGAAUAUUGGACAAUGGGCGAAAGCCUGAUCCAGCCAUGCCGCGUGUGUGAAGAAGGCCUUCGGGUUGUAAAGCACUUUCAGUGGGGAAGAAAGCCUUGGGGCUAAUACCCUCGAGGAAGGACAUCACCCACAGAAGAAGCACCGGCUAACUCCGUGCCAGCAGCCGCGGUAAUACGGAGGGUGCGAGCGUUAAUCGGAAUUACUGGGCGUAAAGCGCGCGUAGGCGGUCUGAUAAGCCGGUUGUGAAAGCCCCGGGCUCAACCUGGGAACGGCAUCCGGAACUGUCAGGCUAGAGGGCAGGAGAGGAAGGUAGAAUUCCCGGUGUAGCGGUGAAAUGCGUAGAGAUCGGGAGGAAUACCAGUGGCGAAGGCGGCCUUCUGGACUGACACUGACGCUGAGGUGCGAAAGCGUGGGUAGCAAACAGGAUUAGAUACCCCUGUAGUC